GGGUUGUGAGGUUAAGCGACUAAGCGUACACGGUGGAUGCCCUGGCAGUCAGAGGCGAUGAAGGACGUGCUAAUCUGCGAUAAGCGUCGGUAAGGUGAUAUGAACCGUUAUAACCGGCGAUUUCCGAAUGGGGAAACCCAGUGUGUUUCGACACACUAUCAUUAACUGAAUCCAUAGGUUAAUGAGGCGAACCGGGGGAACUGAAACAUCUAAGUACCCCGAGGAAAAGAAAUCAACCGAGAUUCCCCCAGUAGCGGCGAGCGAACGGGGAGCAGCCCAGAGCCUGAAUCAGUGUGUGUGUUAGUGGAAGCGUCUGGAAAGGCGCGCGAUACAGGGUGACAGCCCCGUACACAAAAAUGCACAUGCUGUGAGCUCGAUGAGUAGGGCGGGACACGUGGUAUCCUGUCUGAAUAUGGGGGGACCAUCCUCCAAGGCUAAAUACUCCUGACUGACCGAUAGUGAACCAGUACCGUGAGGGAAAGGCGAAAAGAACCCCGGCGAGGGGAGUGAAAAAGAACCUGAAACCGUGUACGUACAAGCAGUGGGAGCACGCUUAGGCGUGUGACUGCGUACCUUUUGUAUAAUGGGUCAGCGACUUAUAUUCUGUAGCAAGGUUAACCGAAUAGGGGAGCCGAAGGGAAACCGAGUCUUAACUGGGCGUUAAGUUGCAGGGUAUAGACCCGAAACCCGGUGAUCUAGCCAUGGGCAGGUUGAAGGUUGGGUAACACUAACUGGAGGACCGAACCGACUAAUGUUGAAAAAUUAGCGGAUGACUUGUGGCUGGGGGUGAAAGGCCAAUCAAACCGGGAGAUAGCUGGUUCUCCCCGAAAGCUAUUUAGGUAGCGCCUCGUGAAUUCAUCUCCGGGGGUAGAGCACUGUUUCGGCAAGGGGGUCAUCCCGACUUACCAACCCGAUGCAAACUGCGAAUACCGGAGAAUGUUAUCACGGGAGACACACGGCGGGUGCUAACGUCCGUCGUGAAGAGGGAAACAACCCAGACCGCCAGCUAAGGUCCCAAAGUCAUGGUUAAGUGGGAAACGAUGUGGGAAGGCCCAGACAGCCAGGAUGUUGGCUUAGAAGCAGCCAUCAUUUAAAGAAAGCGUAAUAGCUCACUGGUCGAGUCGGCCUGCGCGGAAGAUGUAACGGGGCUAAACCAUGCACCGAAGCUGCGGCAGCGACGCUUAUGCGUUGUUGGGUAGGGGAGCGUUCUGUAAGCCUGCGAAGGUGUGCUGUGAGGCAUGCUGGAGGUAUCAGAAGUGCGAAUGCUGACAUAAGUAACGAUAAAGCGGGUGAAAAGCCCGCUCGCCGGAAGACCAAGGGUUCCUGUCCAACGUUAAUCGGGGCAGGGUGAGUCGACCCCUAAGGCGAGGCCGAAAGGCGUAGUCGAUGGGAAACAGGUUAAUAUUCCUGUACUUGGUGUUACUGCGAAGGGGGGACGGAGAAGGCUAUGUUGGCCGGGCGACGGUUGUCCCGGUUUAAGCGUGUAGGCUGGUUUUCCAGGCAAAUCCGGAAAAUCAAGGCUGAGGCGUGAUGACGAGGCACUACGGUGCUGAAGCAACAAAUGCCCUGCUUCCAGGAAAAGCCUCUAAGCAUCAGGUAACAUCAAAUCGUACCCCAAACCGACACAGGUGGUCAGGUAGAGAAUACCAAGGCGCUUGAGAGAACUCGGGUGAAGGAACUAGGCAAAAUGGUGCCGUAACUUCGGGAGAAGGCACGCUGAUAUGUAGGUGAAGUCCCUCGCGGAUGGAGCUGAAAUCAGUCGAAGAUACCAGCUGGCUGCAACUGUUUAUUAAAAACACAGCACUGUGCAAACACGAAAGUGGACGUAUACGGUGUGACGCCUGCCCGGUGCCGGAAGGUUAAUUGAUGGGGUUAGCGGUAACGCGAAGCUCUUGAUCGAAGCCCCGGUAAACGGCGGCCGUAACUAUAACGGUCCUAAGGUAGCGAAAUUCCUUGUCGGGUAAGUUCCGACCUGCACGAAUGGCGUAAUGAUGGCCAGGCUGUCUCCACCCGAGACUCAGUGAAAUUGAACUCGCUGUGAAGAUGCAGUGUACCCGCGGCAAGACGGAAAGACCCCGUGAACCUUUACUAUAGCUUGACACUGAACAUUGAGCCUUGAUGUGUAGGAUAGGUGGGAGGCUUUGAAGUGUGGACGCCAGUCUGCAUGGAGCCGACCUUGAAAUACCACCCUUUAAUGUUUGAUGUUCUAACGUUGACCCGUGAUCCGGGUUGCGGACAGUGUCUGGUGGGUAGUUUGACUGGGGCGGUCUCCUCCUAAAGAGUAACGGAGGAGCACGAAGGUUGGCUAAUCCUGGUCGGACAUCAGGAGGUUAGUGCAAUGGCAUAAGCCAGCUUGACUGCGAGCGUGACGGCGCGAGCAGGUGCGAAAGCAGGUCAUAGUGAUCCGGUGGUUCUGAAUGGAAGGGCCAUCGCUCAACGGAUAAAAGGUACUCCGGGGAUAACAGGCUGAUACCGCCCAAGAGUUCAUAUCGACGGCGGUGUUUGGCACCUCGAUGUCGGCUCAUCACAUCCUGGGGCUGAAGUAGGUCCCAAGGGUAUGGCUGUUCGCCAUUUAAAGUGGUACGCGAGCUGGGUUUAGAACGUCGUGAGACAGUUCGGUCCCUAUCUGCCGUGGGCGCUGGAGAAUUGAGGGGGGCUGCUCCUAGUACGAGAGGACCGGAGUGGACGCAUCACUGGUGUUCGGGUUGUCAUGCCAAUGGCACUGCCCGGUAGCUAAAUGCGGAAGAGAUAAGUGCUGAAAGCAUCUAAGCACGAAACUUGCCCCGAGAUGAGUUCUCCCUGACUCCUUGAGAGUCCUGAAGGAACGUUGAAGACGACGACGUUGAUAGGCCGGGUGUGUAAGCGCAGCGAUGCGUUGAGCUAACCGGUACUAAUGAACCGUGAGGCUUAACCUUACAACGCCGAAG
This 2927-nucleotide ribosomal RNA is filed under the name Escherichia coli. RNAcentral describes it as "partial 23S ribosomal RNA". It matches the Rfam family "Bacterial large subunit ribosomal RNA". Lineage: Bacteria; Pseudomonadati; Pseudomonadota; Gammaproteobacteria; Enterobacterales; Enterobacteriaceae. The record is from RNAcentral.